UGAAUAUAUAUUAAUUUGCACCAAUUGUUUAUUGUUAAAAUUAAAAUUUCCGGUCAUUCCGCAAGUAUAAUAUAAUAUAAUCUAUUGAAAAUCCUGGUACCAAUUAUAUUCAUGAUCAUUUUCAAUGAUUAAAUAAUAUCUUGUAUUUUUCAAUUUUUACUUACCCUUGAAAUCGUUGAUUCCGCUUCUCCAAUAAUUAUUCCCAUCGAUUACACCAAAUAAGUAUCCCAAACUUGUGAUUUUUUAGCACGUCCGCUACACUGUGGAUACACUGCACUUACACAUUCGUCACAAUGCACAAUUAAGAAAAACCACGGUCUCUAGAUCCAAAAAGAGACGAGAAAACACUUUCCACUUUGCUAGACACCCGCGUCACUCAUUGGAAGAUUCCAUAUCAUCUUUUCAUCACCGCUCACAGUCGCGAAUCGCGAGACCGCUUUCAUGGAAAAUCGAAUUCAAGAAAAUUCUUAACCUCGUCAUCCUCUGAAAUUGUUUCAGAAAAAUAAGAUGCAUCUAAGAAAUAAUUCUAGAAAUUUUCCUACAAAUUAGAUGAUAAAUAUUCAGAUGUCUUGGAUUUUUGUCUCAGAUACCGGAAAUAUCUUUGAAAUAUAUGAUCGUAUUGGAAUUCACUCCUUGAACACCAUAUUUUUGUUAACCAAAUUAAUUGCAAAGCAACUCGAAAUAUCACAAAAGAAAUGAUACAUAUAACUGCGUUAGAAGUGAACUUCGUCAAUGACAGCGACAGACUGCGUGCCGUGGGACGCCAGCUGAACCAGCGAACGAACCCAGACAUGGACGGUGGAACGAGGACGGGAGGAACGGAGGAACGAGCGAAACAGCGGACUAUCAAGCUUGCACCUUUGCUCCCCGACAACGAUCAACCGCGAUCCCGGCUGCACUUGGUGUUCCACACGCGUCGGCCCUCACAUCAUCUUUUUCAUAGGGGGCUCGAGGGACGGGGAGAAGAGGGUGCUGCUUACCCGGUACACCGGGGAUUUCAUUGGCCCCCGCAUGAUGCAAUACACUCUGUCGAGAUGAAUCUUCACAGAUCCUAUAAACCUGCAACACGGAUUGUUUAAAGAUGAUAUAGAGAAUUUACAAUGAAGCAAUAAGACGAGAGAAUAUAUGAUUUUUGUUCUAGAAUUACGUAGCUGUAGAUACCAUACAAGGAUAAAGAAGGAAAGUCUCAUCCUACUUCCGGAGACGAGGUCGAAGUAUUUCGUGCGGAAAAACCGAACGACGGGGUCAGACGACCGGGUUCAGUGACACGGAGAGAAUUUGCUUUUCCGUGAGGGUGGAAAGUGGAGGAACAGAAACGGAGAUUGAGAGGGGAUGGCUAUUGAAUUGGCUGGACGGAGAAGUUAGCAGGAAAGAAAACUCGAUAGGAUAAACGUACUUACACGCUAGCACGAAUUCGGCGCGAAGGAGAACGAAAACGAAGCUGAACGUUCGUAUAGUUGCAGAGAGCUUCGAGGUUGUCUCGGAGACGCACAUGGUUACCUCCUUUCUCUUUCUCUCGCCCUUUUUCUUUCUCUAUCUAGUCUUUGCCCUCUCACCCUCUUUCAGUCAGUGGUCUGUCGCGUUCCGUCUCUGUUUCUCGCAGCUCUCCGUUUAGGCCGUGCGAAAUUCAGUGCCAGUGGCGUAACCAGUGGGGGACCAUCGACCCCACUCUACAUUGCUAUAGUCUAACUCUUACCCCUCCCUCGUGCAGCUGGCCAGCGUUGCCACUUGCCAAUGGCGUUGCCAGCUCGUUGCAACCGAGUGGGAGACAGCCUCCUCCCCCCUGUUAUCCCACCUAAGGUCGACUUAGAAAAUCAGUCAACAUGCGACGAAAAUCCCGCCCGCCACAUCGUUCCGACCCUAAUUUUUAGCUAUUUACUUGCCUUUUCUCUUAAUGAGCAAUACAUAAGAACCUUUUAAAAGGAAACGAAUAAUUCUUUUUUAAAGGUUCAGAAUCGAAAAAAAGAAUAUUUAUAUUAUUCUAUUUAUCGAAUGUACAUUUUUUGAGCAUUUUCUUUUGUAAAAUUAUUAAAUUUUUAUAAAUUAAAAUAUAUUCAUAUAGGAAAUAUAUUCAUAUUCUUCAAAUUA
Molecule: long non-coding RNA, 2088 nt
Organism: Apis cerana (Asiatic honeybee)
Lineage: Eukaryota; Metazoa; Arthropoda; Insecta; Hymenoptera; Apidae
Source: RefSeq, a predicted model, not a curated record